Molecule: long non-coding RNA, 905 nt
Organism: Homo sapiens (human)
Lineage: Eukaryota; Metazoa; Chordata; Mammalia; Primates; Hominidae
Gene: FTX
Product: FTX transcript, XIST regulator
Source: Ensembl
AUUUAACUGUUUACCUGGUGAAUAACAUGUGAGUUGUUUCCAGGUUCUGACUAUUACAAAUAAAAUUUCUGUGAACAGUCAAGUGCAGGUUUGGUCUACACAUAAAUUUUCAUUUCUAUGAAAUAGGCCAUGACAGCAAUUGCUAAGCCUAACUAACUGUAUGUGUGUGUUUAGCUUUAAAAGAAAUUGCCAAAUUAUUUUCCAAUGUGGUAUACAGUUUUAUAUUCCCAUCAGCAAUAAAGAUUCAAUUUUUUCUGCAUGCUUCUCAGCCUUUGGAAUCAUUAUGUUUUAACUAUUUCAGCUACUGAAAUAAAUCUGCUGUAGGCCAGGUGUGGUGGCUCACACCUCUUAAUUCCAGCACUUUGGGAGGCUGAGCCACCGCACCUAGCGAUGCUUAAAUCUUCUAGUCCACAAAUAUGAGAUGUCUUUCCACAUAUGUAGAUAUUCCUCAACUCCUCUGACAAAUAUUUUGUGUUAUUCACAGUUCAUGCUGAAUUUCACUUUAUCCCACAGUAUUUUGCCUUAAUAAUAUUGUAAAUAAAAAUGUUUCAAUGAUGUCACUUUUGACUUCUUUAAUAAUAUAUAGAAAUACAACUGAUUUUUGGAUUGUAAUCUUAAAUCACAAAAACUUGCUGAGAUGAUCUUGUUAUUGGAAUCCAAAUUUAUUGGAUCCACUGGGGUUGUGUAUGUACAAAACCAUGUCAUCUGCAAAAGGUUUUGCUGCUUCCUAUUUAAAAAAUUUUAUUUCCUUCCAUAUGCAAUGCAAUUAAUGUCACAGAUACUUCCAGUACACUGUUGAACAGAACUGGCAAGAAUGUUUUAUCCUGUCCUUGCUCCUCUUCUUACAGAGAAAGCAUUCUUUAAAUACUAAGUGUAACAUUAGUUUUGAGGGUUUUGGGUUUUCU